RNAcentral lists this ribosomal RNA (482 nucleotides) under uncultured bacterium. RNAcentral describes it as "bacterial SSU rRNA". It matches the Rfam family "Bacterial small subunit ribosomal RNA", at positions 501 to 985 of the family's 1533-position model. The record is from RNAcentral.
CUACGUGCCAGCAGCCGCGGUAAUACGGAAGGUCCAGGCGUUAUCCGGAUUUAUUGGGUUUAAAGGGUGCGUAGGCCGUUUGAUAAGCGUGCUGUGAAAUAUAGUGGCUCAACCUCUAUCGUGCAGCGCGAACUGUUGAACUUGAGUGCGUAGUAGGUAGGCGGAAUUCGUGGUGUAGCGGUGAAAUGCUUAGAUAUCACGAAGAACUCCGAUUGCGAAGGCAGCUUACCGUAACGUUACUGACGCUUAAGCACGAAGGUGCGGGUAUCGAACAGGAUUAGAUACCCUGGUAGUCCGCACAGUAAACGAUGGAUGCUCGCUGUUGGCCUAUUGUGGUCAGUGGCUUAGCGAAAGCGUUAAGCAUCCCACCUGGGGAGUACGCCGGCAACGGUGAAACUCAAAGGAAUUGACGGGGGCCCGCACAGGCGGAGGAACAUGUGGUUUAAUUCGAUGAUACGCGAGGAACCUUACCCGGGAUUGAA